RNAcentral lists this ribosomal RNA (253 nucleotides) under uncultured bacterium. RNAcentral describes it as "partial 16S ribosomal RNA". It matches the Rfam family "Bacterial small subunit ribosomal RNA", at positions 524 to 776 of the family's 1533-position model. The record is from RNAcentral.
UACGUAGGCAGCAAGCGUUGUUCGGAAUUACUGGGCGUAAAGAGUGUGUAGGCGGUGCUCUAAGUUCGGUGUGAAAUCUCCCGGCUCAACCGGGAGGGUGCGCCGAAUACUGAGGGACUAGAGUGCGGGAGAGGAAAGUGGAAUUCCUGGUGUAGCGGUGAAAUGCGUAGAUAUCAGGAGGAACACCGGUGGUGUAGACGGCUUUCUGGACCGUAACUGACGCUGAGACACGAAAGCGUGGGUAGCAAACAGG